GAAAGUAAAAAAGGGCGCAUGGCGGAUGCCUUGGCUCUCGGAGGCGAUGAAGGACGUGAUAAGCUGCGAUAAGCUUUGGGGAGGUGCAAAUGACCUUUGAUCCAGAGAUUUCCGAAUGGGACAACCCAAUAUCUUGAAGAGGUAUUAUCCAACGUUGUUGGAGGCUAACGCAGGGAACUGAAACAUCUUAGUACCUGCAGGAAAAGAAAAUAAACAAUGAUUCCCCCAGUAGUGGCGAGCGAACGGGGAACAGCCCAAACCAUCCAUGUUACGGCAUGGGUGGGGUUGUAGGACUACGCCGUUGCAUGAAGACAUCAGAGAAGAACUUUCUGGAAAGAAAGACCAUAGAGCAUGACAGUUGCGUAUUCGAAUGUUGUCUAAGCAUAGUAGUAUCCUGAGUAGCGCGGAGCACGAGGAAUUCUGCGUGAAUCUGCCGGGACCAUCCGGUAAGGCUAAAUACUCCCGAGAGACCGAUAGCGAACCAGUACCGUGAGGGAAAGGUGAAAAGCACUUCGAACAGAAGAGUGAAAUAGUUCCUGAAACCGUGCGCCUACAAGCGGUCGGAGCUCGUUAAUGAGUGACGGCGUGCCUUUUGCAUAAUGAACCUACGAGUUGCCUUUGCCGGCAAGGUUAAGUGUGACGACACACGUAUCCGAAGCGAAAGCGAGUCUGAACAGGGCGUAUAGUCGGCAGUGGCAGACGCGAAACCAAGUGAUCUACCCUUGGCCAGGUUGAAGGCUGGGUAACACCAGCUGGAGGACCGCACCAAUAAGCGUUGAAAAGCUUCUGGAUGAGCUGAGGGUAGGGGUGAAAGGCUAAUCAAACUUGGAGAUAGCUCGUACUCCCCGAAAUGCAUUUAGGUGCAGCCUUGCGGGUUACUGAUGUGAGGUAGAGCGACUGAUAAGAUGCGAGGGCUUCACCGCCUAUCAAGUCUUGACAAACUCCGAAUGCGUGUCAGUUCUAUGUCAGGAGUGAGGGCAUGGGUGCUAAGGUCCAUGUCCUAAAGGAGAACAAUCCGGACCAACAGCUAAGGUCCCGAAAUGAAUACUAAGUUGAACUAACGAAGUCAGAUUGCUAAGACAGCUAGGAUGUUGGCUUGGAAGCAGCCAUUCAUUUAAAGAGUGCGUAACAGCUCACUAGUCGAGGAGUUUGGCGUGGAUAAUAAUCGGGCAUUAAGCAAUUUACCGAAGCUAUGGGAUCAGUAAUGAUCGGUAGGGGAGCAUUCCACUCUGCGUCGAAGGUGAAGCGUGAGCUUUGCUGGAGCGUGUGGAAAAGCAAAUGUAGGUAUAAGUAACGAUAAAGGGGGUGAGAAACCCCCUCGCCGAAAGACUAAGGUUUCCUGAUCAACGCUAAUCGGAUCAGGGUAAGUCGGGUCCUAAGGCUCAGCCGAACGGCGAGGCCGAUGGCAGAACCGGUUAAUAUUCCGGUACUACCUUAAGGAGUGACGUGGAGACGGAGUCGUGACAGCGCCGCGGACUGACGGAAUAGUCCGUUGAAGGGUGUAGAUGUUGAUUGUUCCAGGCAAAUCCGGAACGAGAGUCGAACCUGACAGUAUGGAGCGUCCUUCUGGACAAUCCAAUAGUGCGUGUAAUCAUACUUCCAAGAAAAUCCGCUAAACUUAAUCCUUACGGUACCCGUACCGCAAACGGACACACGUAGUCGGGUUGAAUAUACUAAGGCGCUUGAGUGAUUCACGGUUAAGGAACUAGGCAAACUGACCCUGUAACUUCGGGAUAAAGGGUCCUCAAGCAAUUGAGGCGCAGAGAAUAGGUCCAGGCAACUGUUUAACAAAAACACAGGGCUGUGCAAAAUUGAAAGAUGAAGUAUACAGCCUGACACCUGCCCGGUGCUGGAAGGUUAAGAGGAGACGUCAUCGCAAGAGAAGCGUUGAAUUGAAGCCCCAGUAAACGGCGGCCGUAACUAUAACGGUCCUAAGGUAGCGAAAUUCCUUGUCGGGU
RNAcentral lists this ribosomal RNA (1958 nucleotides) under human gut metagenome. RNAcentral describes it as "bacterial LSU rRNA". It matches the Rfam family "Bacterial large subunit ribosomal RNA", at positions 1 to 1977 of the family's 2925-position model. The record is from RNAcentral.